Molecule: unclassified non-coding RNA, 295 nt
Filed under: uncultured Lyophyllum
Lineage: Eukaryota; Fungi; Basidiomycota; Agaricomycetes; Agaricales; Lyophyllaceae
Description: sequence contains ITS2
Rfam family: 5.8S ribosomal RNA (bases 1-52)
Source: RNAcentral
AACGCACCUUGCGCUCCUUGGUAUUCCGAGGAGCAUGCCUGUUUGAGUGUCAUUAAAUUCUCAACCUUUCUAGCUUUUGCUAGUUAGGCUUGGAUGUGGGGGUUGCGGGCUUCUCAGAAGUCGGCUCUCCUUAAAUGCAUUAGCGGAACCUUUGUGGACCAGCUUUGGUGUGAUAAUUAUCUACGCCACGGCCGUGAAGCAGCUAUACAUGGGGUUCAGCUUCUAACCGUCCAUUGACUUGGACAAUUUCUGACAUUUUGACCUCAAAUCAGGUAGGACUACCCGCUGAACUUAA